Molecule: ribosomal RNA, 427 nt
Filed under: Enterobacter sp. CK73
Lineage: Bacteria; Pseudomonadati; Pseudomonadota; Gammaproteobacteria; Enterobacterales; Enterobacteriaceae
Description: bacterial SSU rRNA
Rfam family: Bacterial small subunit ribosomal RNA
Source: RNAcentral
UUGUUAAGUCAGAUGUGAAAUCCCCGGGCUCAACCUGGGAACUGCAUUUGAAACUGGCAAGCUGGAGUCUCGUAGAGGGAGGUAGAAUUCCAGGUGUAGCGGUGAAAUGCGUAGAGAUCUGGAGGAAUACCGGUGGCGAAGGCGGCCUCCUGGACGAAGACUGACGCUCAGGUGCGAAAGCGUGGGGAGCAAACAGGAUUAGAUACCCUGGUAGUCCACGCUGUAAACGAUGUCGAUUUGGAGGUUGUGCCCUUGAGGCGUGGCUUCCGGAGCUAACGCGUUAAAUCGACCGCCUGGGGAGUACGGCCGCAAGGUUAAAACUCAAAUGAAUUGACGGGGGCCCGCACAAGCGGUGGAGCAUGUGGUUUAAUUCGAUGCAACGCGAAGAACCUUACCUGGUCUUGAACCAGAGAAUCCUGCCGAUGCG